GUCUCCUACGGGGCGCAGCAGUGAGGAAUAUUGGUCAAUGGGCGCGAGCCUGAACGAGCGAUGCCACGUGAGUGAAGAAGGCCUUCGGGUCGUAAAGCUCUGUUGCGGGGGAAAAAAGGCAGCAUCAGGAAAUGGGUGCUGACUGAUGGUGCCCCGCCAGAAAGUCACGGCUAACUACGUGCCAGCAGCCGCGGUAAUACGUAGGUGGCGAGCGUUAUCCGGAAUGAUUGGGCGUAAAGGGUGCGCAGGCGGUCCUGCAAGUCUGGAGUGAAACGCAUGAGCUCAACU
RNAcentral lists this ribosomal RNA (288 nucleotides) under uncultured bacterium. Its description in RNAcentral is "partial 16S ribosomal RNA". It matches the Rfam family "Bacterial small subunit ribosomal RNA", at positions 334 to 614 of the family's 1533-position model. The record is from RNAcentral.